GGGUCUCAGCUCAUGGGGUCCCAGGACACGGGUUUUAGGCAUUGUAAGACCUUUGGGAUUUACUCUGAGUGAAAAGGCGAGUCAUGGCCACAUUUUGAACAGACAAAUGAUAUAAUAUGAUUUACAUUUUGAAAGAAUUUCACCUUUAAUUUAUUGAACCCUUAGGAUAGUGCCAGGAACUGUGCAAAUUGCUCUAUACACAAUCUCUUCCAAUCUUCCCAGAA
Non-coding RNA from Vicugna pacos (alpaca), 224 nucleotides. NCBI's taxonomy places the organism in Eukaryota, Metazoa, Chordata, Mammalia, Artiodactyla, Camelidae. The record is from RefSeq and is a predicted model, not a curated record.